AGUGAACGCUGGCGGUAGGCCUAACACAUGCAAGUCGAACGGCAGCACAGUGAGAGCUUGCUCUUACGGGUGGCGAGUGGCGGACGGGUGAGGAAUACAUCGGAAUCUACUUUUUCGUGGGGGAUAACGUAGGGAAACGUACGCUAAUACCGCAUACGACCUACGUGUGAAAGCAGGGGAUCUUCGGACCUUGCGCGAUUGAAUGAGCCGAUGUCGGAUUAGCUAGUUGGCGGGGUAAAGGCCCACCAAGGCGACGAUCCGUAGCUGGUCUGAGAGGAUGAUCAGCCACACUGGAACUGAGACACGGUCCAGACUCCUACGGGAGGCAGCAGUGGGGAAUAUUGGACAAUGGGCGAAAGCCUGAUACAGCCAUACCGCGUGGGUGAAGAAGGCCUUCGGGUUGUAAAGCCCUUUUGUUGGGAAAGAAAAGCAGCAGGUUAAUACCCCGCUGUUCUGACGGUACCCAAAGAAUAAGCACCGGCUAACUUCGUG
Molecule: ribosomal RNA, 492 nt
Filed under: uncultured bacterium
Lineage: Bacteria
Description: partial 16S ribosomal RNA
Rfam family: Bacterial small subunit ribosomal RNA
Source: RNAcentral